UUUGUCCUGGGGAAAGGCGGUAGGCAUGAUUCUUAGGCAAAUCCGGGAAUCUCUAUGCCGAGCACCGAGACGAGUCCUAUGAGGACGAAGUGACUGACACCACGCUUCCAGGAAAAGCCACUAAGCUUCAGCUGUAGAAAAACCGUACCGCAAACCGACACAGGUAGGCAGGGUGAGAAUCCCAAGGCGCUUGAGAGAACUCGGGUGAAGGAACUAGGCAAAAUGGCACCGUAACUUCGGGAGAAGGUGCGCCUCUUGGUGUGGUCACGUGCGUGACUGAGCAUCGAGGGGUCGCAGUAACCUGGCCGCUGCGACUGUUUAUCAAAAACACAGCACUCUGCAAACACGAAAGUGGACGUAUAGGGUGUGAUGCCUUCCCGGUGCUGGAAGGUUAAUUGAUGGGGUCAGCCGCAAGGCGAAGCUCUUGAUCGAAGCCCCAGUAAACGGCGGCCGUAACUAUAACGGUCCUAAGGUAGCGAAAUUCCUUGUCGGGUAAGUUCCGACCUGCACGAAUGGCGUAACGACAGCGGCGCUGUCUCCACCCGAGACUCAGUGAAAUUGAAAUCGCUGUGAAGAUGCAGCGUUCCCGCGGCAAGACGGAAAGACCCCGUGAACCUUUACUAUAGCUUUACACUGAACGUUGAGUUCUUCUGUGUAGGAUAGGUGGGAGGCUAUGAAACCAGGACGCUAGUUCUGGUGGAGCCAUCCUUGAAAUACCACCCUGAAGUGCUUGACGUUCUAACCUAGGUCCGUAAUCCGGAUCGGGGACCGUGUAUGGUGGGUAGUUUGACUGGGGCGGUCUCCUCCCAAAGAGUAACGGAGGAGCACGAAGGUACGCUCAGCGCGGUCGGACAUCGCGCACUGUGUGCAAAGGCAUAAGCGUGCUUGACUGCGAGAUCGACGGAUCAAGCAGGUACGAAAGUAGGUCUUAGUGAUCCGGUGGUUCUGUAUGGAAGGGCCAUCGCUCAACGGAUAAAAGGUACUCCGGGGAUAACAGGCUGAUACCGCCCAAGAGUUCAUAUCGACGGCGGUGUUUGGCACCUCGAUGUCGGCUCAUCACAUCCUGGGGCUGUAGCCGGUCCCAAGGGUAUGGCUGUUCGCCAUUUAAAGUGGUACGCGAGCUGGGUUCAGAACGUCGUGAGACAGUUCGGUCCCUAUCUGUCGUGGGCGUUGGAGAUUUGAGGGGGGCUGCUCCUAGUACGAGAGGACCGGAGUGGACGUUCCGCUGGUGUUCGGGUUGUCAUGCCCAUGGCAUUGCCCGGUAGCUACGAACGGAAGUGAUAACCGCUGAAAGCAUCUAAGCGGGAAGCACGCCCCAAGAUGAGAUCUCCCGAGAGCUUGACUCUCCUAAAGGCACCAUCAAGACUAGGUGGUUGAUAGGCACGGUGUGGAAGUGCAGCAAUGCAUUGAGCUUACGUGUACUAAUGAGCCGUGAGGCUUGACCAA
This 1446-nucleotide ribosomal RNA is filed under the name metagenome. Its description in RNAcentral is "bacterial LSU rRNA". It matches the Rfam family "Bacterial large subunit ribosomal RNA", at positions 1501 to 2925 of the family's 2925-position model. The record is from RNAcentral.